RNAcentral lists this long non-coding RNA (222 nucleotides) under Elaeis guineensis (African oil palm). Its description in RNAcentral is "long non-coding RNA (EGUI_LNC011033)". The record is from RNAcentral. Lineage: Eukaryota; Viridiplantae; Streptophyta; Magnoliopsida; Arecales; Arecaceae.
UCAGGUCGCUUUUUAUGUUGAGAACCUUCGAGCUGGGCUCUGAUUCUUGAUUCCAGAGUUUAUUCGAAAUAUUCUUGAUUAUUACCGACUUUGCCCAGUCUAACUUGCGCCGAAUUUCAUUCGGCUUCUUAUUACUUUUGCUUUAUUAUGUCGUAUGAUCCCGAUCGAACCUAAACUUUCUCUCUUUCGUACUUUCUUAUUUCUUCAUCCUCAUCCGAAGGC